RNAcentral lists this small nuclear RNA (294 nucleotides) under Canis lupus familiaris (dog). Its description in RNAcentral is "7SK RNA". It matches the Rfam family "7SK RNA". From Rfam's summary of the family: 7SK was discovered as an abundant small nuclear RNA in the mid-70s but a possible function has only recently been suggested. Two independent studies have found that 7SK RNA binds the CDK9/cyclin T complex (known as elongation factor P-TEFb). The record is from Rfam by way of RNAcentral. RNAcentral also lists the same sequence under 1 other name. Lineage: Eukaryota; Metazoa; Chordata; Mammalia; Carnivora; Canidae.
GGAUGUGAGGGCGAUCUGGCUGCGACAUCUGUCACCCCAUUGAUCGCCAGGGUUGAUUCGGCUGAUCUGGCUGGCUAGGCGGGUGUCCCCUUCCUCCCUCACCGCUCCAUGUGCGUCCCUCCCGAAGCUGCGCGCUCGGUCGAAGAGGACGACCAUCCCCGAUAGAGGAGGACCGUUCUUCAGUCAAGGGUAUACGAGUAGCUGCGCUCCCCUGCUAGAACCUCCAAACAAGCUCUCAAGAUCAUAAAACUGAACUGGGUAAAAAUUUCUAUGACUAAUGGAAAAUCUGAGUUC